GAUGAACGCUGGCGGCGUGCCUAAUACAUGCAAGUCGAGCGAACAGACGAGGAGCUUGCUCCUUCGACGUUAGCGGCGGACGGGUGAGUAACACGUAGGUAACCUACCUAUAAGACUGGAUAACUUCGGGAAACCGGAGCUAAUACCGGAUAAUAUUUCGAACCGCAUGGUUCGAUAGUGAAAGAUGGCUUUGCUAUCACUUAUAGAUGGACCUGCGCCGUAUUAGCUAGUUGGUAAGGUAACGGCUUACCAAGGCAACGAUACGUAGCCGACCUGAGAGGGUGAUCGGCCACACUGGAACUGAGACACGGUCCAGACUCCUACGGGAGGCAGCAGUAGGGAAUCUUCCGCAAUGGGCGAAAGCCUGACGGAGCAACGCCGCGUGAGUGAUGAAGGUCUUCGGAUCGUAAAACUCUGUUAUUAGGGAAGAACAAACGUGUAAGUAACUGUGCACGUCUUGACGGUACCUAAUCAGAAAGCCACGGCUAACUACGUG
This 496-nucleotide ribosomal RNA is filed under the name uncultured bacterium. RNAcentral describes it as "partial 16S ribosomal RNA". It matches the Rfam family "Bacterial small subunit ribosomal RNA", at positions 28 to 507 of the family's 1533-position model. The record is from RNAcentral.